Molecule: long non-coding RNA, 683 nt
Filed under: Phaseolus vulgaris (common bean)
Lineage: Eukaryota; Viridiplantae; Streptophyta; Magnoliopsida; Fabales; Fabaceae
Description: long non-coding RNA (PVUL_LNC001034)
Source: RNAcentral
UUGGGAAGAAAGCUGAGGUGACGAAAUCAAGAAUUUAUUUUUGUUGUUUUUAAUUUUAUUCUACAAAAUUGGUGGGAGUUGGAAAAGCAUUGGGAGCUUAAGAAGGUGAAUUACAAGUGAGAGAGUUGUUGGGCUAUUCCAUGUAAAUGGUGAUGACGAUCAGUGUCAAUGAUCAUGCACAAAGCAAACCAAACCAAACCAAAUAGUGAAAAAGUUGGAUGGGAUUGAGUGAGGUAGGUUUGGGUUGGGUUGGGUCUCUCUAUUCAAUGAAAGCUGCACGUGGUACCUGCCUUUGCCACUCCUCUUGAGGAACUAGUAUUAGUAGUAGUUCCUAGCUACCCCCUCUCUCUCUCUCUCUCUCUUUCUCUCUCCUUUGUGAGUGGUGCGAAUAAAUUAGUUGUGAUAAUUCAAAUAAUGAGUAAAAAAGGGGUUCAAAGAAUUGGGGUUUGGCUGGGUAGAAGGAGGAGAUGAAUGUGACGUCACGAAAGGGAUGAAUGAAUCUAAUCUACCACAACACAUGUAAACAAAUAUGUAGCAUGAUUGAGGUGCCUCUCUUGACUAUGCGUUGUGUUGUUGUUUUGUUCUGUUGGUGGUCACUGCUCUUCUCCACCAACCCUUCUUCCCUGUAUGAGUCAAAUAUGGAAGCUGUGUUCCUUCCUCCAACUUCAUCAAUUUCAAUUACA